Long non-coding RNA from Mauremys mutica (yellowpond turtle), 1313 nucleotides. RefSeq lists it as uncharacterized. Lineage: Eukaryota; Metazoa; Chordata; Testudines; Geoemydidae. The record is from RefSeq and is a predicted model, not a curated record. The transcript has 3 exons.
GAAAGUGAGAAAUGUAAUAUUUAUUAUGUAUUUUGAAAAAGCCACCCUGUUUUGACUAAGUCCUGCAAAUAGUGCUCUCAGUACAUCCAAGAAUGACAUAAUAGCCCUAGGAAUGCUGAUUUGUUGGCAUCAUAACAUGCAUUACCAUUACAGAAGUAUGCACUGUGUCUACUUGAAAUGUUUGAUUAUAUAUUAAAUAAGCUACUAGACUGAGACACACAAAAAAUCAAGAUGGCUAUCUGGGUCGUCUAGGAUUAGUCUACCCUCUUUAAAAACCACAGAGAGGUUUAUUAAAAUCUCAUCUCGGUGAAACCACUUCACAGCCUGAGUAGAAUCAUGCCUAGCCACACUUAAGUGGAGACUUUCAAGGAUAAACCUAGAUGCUGCUGGAAAUAUGGUUGGAGAUUCAAUAAACAGGAUUCCAAACCAAAAUGGAACCAAUACUGAACCAACACUAAUAUGGUGAUAGGUGGUACAGUGAUAAUGGAAAUACUGCCUGGUGGAUAUGUUAAACAAAAAGGGCCUCACUGCUCAGACAUUACAAAUUCUCCCUAUUUGCAAGAUUUGAGGUAUUAACAUAGGUGUCCUGACUAAUUCCAGCUUGGUUAAUCACAUUCUGCCUACCUCGAAUUUUCCCUGUAUUUUGAUUUGGAGAAGUUAAUUGUUUGUUUUUGUUUUUAAAAACCAUUCCUGUCAUCUAAUGGGUGCAUAGUCCACACUAGCCUUUCAUGGUGGGUGAGUGACCCCUAAUAUACAUUGUUCUCACUGUGCUUUGCAAUCCUCCAGCAUGAUAGGUGCUAUGGGCAUGUUCUGCCCACACCUCUCCCCACAAUGGUUGCAGGUGAAAACCACAGUGGAAUCCAGUGCAGUUCAGCUGUGCAGGAGGCAGGAUUUCAGGCGCUCACAUUUCACCAGGAUCAACUCCAAAGGCUGUUCUGGAAUAUACCGCUGGAACAAGCUCAUUUGUCCUCCAGUUAGUCUGGGAAGGAGGAGGGAAUCCUAAUCCUUGUGGAGUGACAUUUCCACCUGGAAACCAGGAGGAUGGUCUGAGAGGCUCAGCAGCAACUAUUGUAAUCUCAGGACGUCUGCAAAGAAACAUAAACAAGAGUUUAAAAAUUCACAAAGAUUACAAGUAAUUUGGAGUGAAGACCAAAUCUGAGGAAAUCAUGAGGAAAAGAGGCUGAAGUUUUCAACCACUUAAUUUGUUCUAAUUUAUGGACAUGGAUCAAAUUACUGCUGUUUUCUCUGUUUUUUUGUAUGCCAUUGUUCACGUGUGAUUCUAGGCUCACUUAUGCUGUGCCUCCUAAAUAUAU